Long non-coding RNA from Bos grunniens (domestic yak), 5840 nucleotides. NCBI's taxonomy places the organism in Eukaryota, Metazoa, Chordata, Mammalia, Artiodactyla, Bovidae. The record is from Ensembl.
GCAAUGUAAAGGAAGGGACUCCUGUGGGCUCAAAGUAUGACCUGGUGCUGGAAGGCUUCCCUGCAAUCUGAAAGCCUUGAUCACUCAUUGGACGACGGUCAUGCCAAUCCUUGCCUCCUGGCAAAUGAGCUUAGAGCUGGCGCUGGAGGAAGUGGUCGCGGUUGACCCUUCCAGCUCCACCUACCGUCGCCAGCCCAUCAGGGUCUUUCCCGCCUUGUCCGCCGCCAGCUCAGCUUCGGUGUUGGUGGGCGGGUCUGCGGGCCACCCCCUCACCAUUCCUGUUGUGGGGCCCACACCAGCAACUUGCAGACUCCUGUUCCCUGUGCAGCCGACGUCUCUGCUGUCCCCACCCCCACCCUGCGGUCCCACUGCCAACAGCGUCUCCUCAGCACAACGCUUAGCCCGGCGGACGCCAUCUUCCCCGCAGACAUCACUGCAGGACGAUCACUGUCUGGCACGUCUCUCCUGCCAUGUCUGCCACAGAGGAGCACGACUGGAUCCCAGGUGGCCCAGAUGGAGCUGGUGGCGGGGCGGGCCGUGACCCCAGUCUCCUUGGGGUCCAAGCAUCUGCUUGCGAGGGGACGGAAGGAGUCGAGGAGGCCACGGCUCUUCUGGCUUCCUUGGAGGUCUCCAAAGCCCUUCCCGGGGAGCAGGGUUGGCCACAGGCCGCAGUGGAAGAGGAAUGUGGUAGAGAGCCGUUAGAGGAGGAGGAGAUGGAGGAAGGUGUAGAGAUGCAGGAGGACGAGGAAGAGGGUGAGAUUGAUUUCGAGUUGGAAGGCGUGGAGGAGGAGGAGCACCUGUCUGGAGAGGGCGAGGAAGAGGAGGACGAGAAUGAGCAGGAGGGUGCGGCAGUGGUUACAGGCCUUGGGUUCUGCAUGGAGACAUUUGGGCCCCUGUUCCGGAGUCACGUUGACUCCUUUCUACGCAAUUUCCGUAACAACAAAGAUGUCUUCUUCCCGCCUUCCACUGACCGCCUGAUGGCCAGGGGCCGCUCCCAGCCACCCUCGGACCCUGGAGAAGGUCCGGUGCCUCCUCAGGAGCAGGAAGACCUGGGAGAGGGAGGCAGAGUCUUGCAGGGCCUAGACUCUGCUGCUGAUUUGAAGUUGAGGUAUUUUCCCUGCCAACUUUUGACCCCAAUGUCUGCAUCAUUCUGCCCCAAUGAUGAGGGUGAGGAUCAGUAUGAAAAUGCUGAUGAAGAGGAAGAGGAUAGAAAUGAAAAACCUGAAGGACUCUGAAUGGAUAUGGUCUCAGCAAAGAGCAGCUCUGGAUAAUACAGGUAUUAUUGUAUAGGCUUUUGUAUGACAUAACCAUUCCUGACACAUACCUGUUACUAACAGCGUUGCGUUUUUUAAUUUUUUUCUGUAAAGUAAAUAAGAAAAUUGUUGAAAUUUAAUUUUGGAAAAACAGUUUAUUGUUAAUAAUGUAUUCUAGAUAAUGUAGGAGGCAGUAUGUUCUGAAAUGUAUUGCAUUUAUAGCCACAAGUCCUUUGUCCUGUAGCUUUAAGUCUACUACAGAUGGGAAAUUUACCAGACCUGGCAAUGGAGACCAGUGCUUGUUUAGAGAAUAGUCACCAGAAGCAGCAGCUAAAGUGACUAGGCCAUGCAUUAGCUGUGUCAUCAUCACCUGGCCACAGAAUUGUAGUCUCUUGUACUGACAAUGACUUUGAGAAAGCGAUUCCUUACAAAGUAGUAAGAUGUUAAGGGUUUCAAGAGAACUGCAUUUCAGGAUUAAUUCACAAAUAUUAGUUCAAUUUAGAUUUUUUAUUCAAAAGAAAAGAAAACUAGUCUCAGUAAUAUUAUUGGUUGUCACUGGGUUGGUAAUUAAAUCUUUGUUUCUCGUUCCUCUAUUCAUUCAUCUGUUAGUCUCUGUCACUCACUGUCUCACUCUUUCUUAGUUUUCAUGCAUGUGGAUGUUUGAUAAAGCCUCAUCCUCGUUUUACACAUGUGGAAACUGAAGGUCUGGAAAUAUAAGGGAUUUAUGAUUUGUGCAAGGGAACACCAGAUCUUUAGGGGGAAUGGCUUAUUUAAAUCACAGUGUGGCCUUUCAAGGAAACAGCAAGCAUUUAUAGUGGUGGGCAAGAGGGAGGUAAGUUUUGCGUGAGCAAUGAUGUGCACCCUGAUCACCAAGGGUCUGGGUUACAAGAAGAAAACAUUUUUGUUUUCUCCUUGUUGAGAAAAUAGAUGUACAUAGUAUUGACUCAUAUUUAGAAAGUCACUGGUGCAUGUUAUUGAGUUACAAUUGUUAACUGGCUCUUAUUUCAUCCUACAGUGGGAAGGCAUAGAACGAAGCAGACAGCAAAAGAAAAGAUGAAUUUGUUCUUCAUGGAUAUUCUUGUUUUCAUUAGCCUGAAAUGCUAAUUUUGUUUCAAAGUUUCAACGCCCCAAAAUGAUAUUAACUACUGACAUCUGACUUUACUCUUACCUUUUACAGAUAAUUUGAUAGUAUUGUUCACAUUGGAAAUAAAAGCUUGUUUGAAAUUAAUUCUCCCUUAGCCCAGUCAAGUUGACACGUAAAAUUAACCAUCAUAAUCCUUGUGGAGAAUACUCACCCUGUACAUUGCCCAUGAGAUGACAUACUUACAGGAUGAUGACCUUCCACGUAUAACAAAGACAAUUUGAACAGCUCCUAGGUGUCAGGUUGCUCUAACAAACACAUUUGUUAACAAAUGUAUUUUCUUAAUUAAGAAUGAAAUGGAUAGCAUGUUUAUAAAAUAGUCUUUCAAGAUAAGUUUGAGAAAAAGGUAUUCUAAAGGCCAGUGUCUAGAGGCCCAUCCCUUUGUCUCAAUUUAUUCUGCUCCUGCCCAAUGUCAAGAUUGAUUAUCUCUAACUUGGAUCAUUAACAGCCUCAUUCUCUCUGAUUUUCUGCACUUUCACUAUGAUGUGUCUAAGAGUGAAUUUUUGUUUUUUAUCCUGCCUAGAACUCACUGAGCUUUUAGAAUCUGCAUUUCAAUUGCUCUGAAAAAUUCUUGGCCAUCAUUUUCUUCCCCGUUUCUCUCUCCUGUCUUUCUGGGAUUUGAAUUAAACAUAUACUUUGUAUCUCUUAUCCUACUUUUUUUCAUAUUAAUCUAUUUCUCCAGGCAGAAUUCUGGAUGAUUUCUUCUAAUCUAUCUUCCAAUUCAAUAAUUGUCUUAGGUUUAUUUUUCUUGAUUACAUUUAUCAUGAUCUAAUGGUUAUGCCAAUUUUUAUUUAUUUAUUUAUUUUUUGCUGAGCUUCAUGGCUUGUGGGAUCUUCCUUUCUUGACCGGGGAUUAAAACCAAGCCACUGCAAAGCACAUUGAAAGCAUGAGUCCUAAUGGCUGGAGACCAAGAGAAUUCACUCUCUGCUGCUUUUUAUGAUUUUCUGUUCCCUGAAGAUAUUUUAAAACAUACUUUUUAAUUUUUUGAAAUGUAGGCCAUAGUGAUUAUACUCUACUCUUCAUUCUGGCUGUCACUUACAAUAUAUUUUUUUUCCUUAUGUGUGUACAUAAGGUACAGGGCUUGAAGUUCCUUGGAUCACUAAGUGAUGUAUAUCUAGGCUGCAAUUUAUUCCAGCGCUCGUUACUUCUGGUUCACUAUUACCUGAAAGGGGUAGUCACUUAUUUUCAGCUUAAAGUGGUGGCAGAGCUCAUCAGACCUACUCAUUGGAGCUGUGAGAUUUGACUUUCAUUUUCUUUUCCCAUGAGGCCACCAAAACCACAGAUCAGUUCCAUAAUUCUUUCUUCUAGAUUCAGCUAAUGCCCUCAGGAAAAACUGGCUCUGAGUGCUGGGCUUUCCUAUUUGGGUUCUUGUCUUCUUGAAGAUUUUAGUCUCAUAGUUUCUUAGUGCUUAACAAAGAUACUUUCUUUAUACAUUUCAUCCAGUAAUUUUUAGUUGUCCUCAUUGGGAUGGUUAGUCCAAAUUACUAAGCCUGCCAUUACUGUAAGCAGAGGUGUUCACCACCCUCCUAACUUCACUUCUUGUCACCAAUCUUUCUUUCUUUCUUCCAGUUUCUCCUCUAGAAAGUAACUGAAAGUUUCUUUCUGAUGGCGUUAUUUUCCUGCACAAAUCCUCCAAAAGCUUGCUGCUAAAUGUAAAUUAGAAAUCAAAUUCCUCAGUUUGGACAAUCAGAUCGAAAAUGCUCUUUCUGAGAAAGUACUGUACAGCGCAGGGAACUCUACUCAAUACACUGUGGUGACCGAAAUGGAAAGGAAUUCUAAAAUAGAGGGGAUAACCGAUUCACUUUGUUAUACAGCAGAAGCGGAUAUAACAUUGUAAAGCAACUAUACUCCAAUAAAAAUUAACUUAAAAAUAAGAGAUGUGGAUGGAAAGUGGAGUAUGUGGAGUAGAUUAUGGAGAGAAAACAUGAAGAAAAGUUCUCUGCCAGUUAAUGAGAAGUCUGAAAUUUUUAAAGUAAGAAAAUGAUGUGAUUUUAUUUGGAUUUAGACAUGGCACUUUAUUGGCAGUAUGGAAAUCUUGUAAGUGUCAUAAAUAGAAUGUCUGCAUUCCCCCAAAAUCUAUAUGUUGAAAUCUUAAUUCCCAAGGUAAUGGUAUUAGAAGGUGGAGUGUUUGGGAGGGGCCUAGGUCAUAAGGGUAGAGUCCUCACAAAUGUGAUUAGCACCUUAUUUAAGAGGGUCCAGAGAGAUACUCUGCCCCUUCUGCCAAGUGAGGACAUAGUGAAAAGUUGGCAUUUAAGAUCCAGGGAGUGGACUUCAGGAGACACCAAAUCUGCUGGUGCCUUGAUCCUGGAUAAACCUGCUUCUAGGACUGUGAAAAAUAAAUGUUUGCUGUUUAUAAAAUAAAACAUUCUUUCUUAGCUUCAUUUAUUCACUGAGUAGGUAUUUCCUUUGCACUGAAUGUGUGGCCCUCACUAGGCCAGAUGCUACCUAUUCUUUUGCUUCUUACUUCAUUUACCUCUUGUCUUACCUCCCAAUCCACCUUAUACUUUAGCAAAACUGAAAUACUCAUUGUCAUGUGACAGGGCCAAGUCAGAUAACAGAUAGGCUAACACCUAGGUCAGUGAUAUUUCCUCUACCUCAAAAUACGAUAUUCACGUUUAAGUCAUAAUACCAUAUUCAUGUUUAAGUCCAUUCAAUCUAGGUAUCUAUGAAUAUUCUAAUAAAUGACCAAGACAAAAACUCAAAAAGCACAAAGUGACUUUCUCAUAUUCCUUACUGUCUUUUGGAAUCUUUCUCAUAUAUAUCUGGGAUGUAAGCUCUGGAAAGAAAUUCAUUUUUGCCAUCAAGCUUUUGGUAAUUUCCAUAGUCACAAGGGGGGCUUCCUUGGUGGCCAAGUGGUAAAGAACCCACCUGCCAAUGGAGGAGACAUGAGUUCGAUCCCUGGGCUGGAAAGAUCCCCUGAAGAAGGAAAUGGCAACCCACUCCAGUAUUUUGCCUGGGAAAUCUUAGGGACAGAGAAGACUACAGUGGGGUCCCAAGAGUCAGACACAACUUAGUAAGUAAACUAAAACAGUAAAACUGUGAGGCUUUUCUGUCUACAUGUUGGGGCCAGGAUGCUGGAGAAUUAGAGUGGCCUGCUCUCCAGGGCUAACUGCCUUGAAGAUCUGAUACACUGACCUUUGCCUUCUUUUCCACUUCUAUGAUGCCAGCCAAGAAGCCUCACGUCAACUUUGCACCCAUUAGCUAUGGGAGGGGGGCGCUCCAGGUGCCCAAUUUCUGACCUGAUGACCCUCCAGAGCCCUAUCAUAAAACACAUUGACUGAACCUCUUCUACCCUUUCCAGAAGAGAGGCACUUGGGUUGCCUGGAAGCCCAAGGAUCUCAGAACGAUCCCGAGUCAACUAGCUUCUGAUCCCUCAAAGUUGUUGAGAGCUUUCAGAAUUCAACAUGGACACUCCAUUUACUCCUUUCACAAUGAAAAGCAAACUC